Molecule: long non-coding RNA, 735 nt
Filed under: Nicotiana benthamiana
Lineage: Eukaryota; Viridiplantae; Streptophyta; Magnoliopsida; Solanales; Solanaceae
Description: long non-coding RNA (NBEN_LNC014815)
Source: RNAcentral
ACAAGAAGAGAACCACCACCAAGUACUUAAAGGACGGGAUUUCUUCAUAGGAAGUGCAUCGCUUAAGAGUAACUGCAAAGUUGUCAAGGGCGCAAUUUAAGCCUUGAAACAAGGCGUACAGGCAGCGAAAUACCGAGGCCAUCUAAGCAAAAAACCACCAAACCAAUAGCUUUUUUUGAAAAGUCAGGACAAUUCACUAGGCUCAUGAGAGCUCUUCAAAAUAAAGAGGUUAAAUAGCACAUACAAAGAUAACAGUCACAAAAAAAAAACACAAGUUGAAUACUUUAUAAUGGGAAAUCAGCAUUUUGGAGUAAGAAAACUUGAAAUCUUUGCAUCUGAACAAAACUUUGAUAUGGUGCUUCAACUUGAUUAACAUGGUUUGGGUUCAUAAAUCCACUUAAAUCACAAUUUAUUAAUUUCUCUAUCAAUAUAAUCAUAGUUGAAUAUAUAGGUGUUUUUUCUUGUGUCAUAUAUUCUUUCAUCUUUUCUUGAUUCACAUCUCAGCACUAAUACCGUGCUUUGAUUGAGCUUUGCACUUGCAACGUCAAUAGACCUUGGCCUUUUCUACUCUUUUCACCUUUGACAAUGCUAAGCAGUUGAUCCUUCGGUGGAGCAUAUCACUUGAAACCAGGGUGGAGCACUAGACACCUAAUAGCUCUUGCAGCUACCCAAGAGAAAUUGCAUUAUGUACAUUGCUGCUAACCCAAGUAGCACAUCAGCGUGCAUUUUCUACUA